GGAGAAAGACGCUUGAAUACCCGAUACUGUUUACAGCGACGGGACAGGAGGGAUUUUCAACCUAUCAAGCCCCAACUUCUGAAAGGGAAAAUCCAUAUGAAGGCACUCAAGUGAUGGACUGGGUUUAAAUCCAGCAGGUGGAAUGGACUUGCAACCGGUAGCAAAAGUUACUCACAAAAUAGAUUCCAGGACUGGAAGAAACCAAUACUUAAUACUGUGAAACAUCCAUCCUGUAUUUGCUCUCCCUCACUACAGCUCACCAAGC
This is a long non-coding RNA of Budorcas taxicolor (takin), 265 nucleotides long. RefSeq lists it as uncharacterized. The transcript is spliced from 3 exons. Lineage: Eukaryota; Metazoa; Chordata; Mammalia; Artiodactyla; Bovidae. The record is from RefSeq and is a predicted model, not a curated record.